This 1303-nucleotide long non-coding RNA is filed under the name Homo sapiens (human). Its description in RNAcentral is "MIR663A host gene". The record is from RNAcentral. Lineage: Eukaryota; Metazoa; Chordata; Mammalia; Primates; Hominidae.
UGAGUGAGACGAGACGCGCCCCUCCCACGCGGGGAAGGGCGCCCGCCUGGUCCGGCGAGCGCACGUCCGGUGCUCCCCUCUGGCGGGGUCUCACUCUGUCACCCAGGGUGGAGUGCAGUGGUGCAAUUAUGGCUCACUGUAGUCUUGAUCUCCUGGGCUCAAGCAGUCCUCCCAACUCAGCUCCCAAGUAGCUAGAACUACAGAAAUACUAGGCUUUAGAAUUUCACCAUAUGAAUUUUGGGAGAGAGGAGCACAGUUCAGCCCAUAACUAACACACGACGGAAUGAAGUUGAUAAUAGUGAGACCUUGUUGGUACAAGACUAUGUAACAUAACCUGCGCUUCUCAACAAAGAAUUGCUUUUCUGACUUCUGCACUCAAUAGCAAGACAAAUCUCUCCUCUGCCUUCUCCUUAUCAGACUACUCAACAUGAAGGCAAUAAGAAUGAAGACCUCUAUGUAUAAUAAUUGACUUCCACUUAAUAAAUAAGGUUACUUGGUACACUGGUCGACAAAACCUUGAAAUGUUGAUGUUUAAGGGCUGUUGAUUGCUGGCAGCAAAGAAGUCCAACUGUGCUGGUACCCGAGAUAGCGUCUCCACAUUUUCUUCCAGGAUCAUCACCUUUGUUCUAAAUAGCUCCCACAUAGUGUGAACAGAAGUCAUAUGUUUUAGAUUUUCUGCCUUGGCACCCAGGAAACCAGUAUGAUUGAGUAAACAUAUUAAACUUCCUCUGCAUUUCCAGCCUGAACAGAUGUUGAGUACAAGCUGAUCCACCUACGUUCAACCUGAGAGAGUCCACAUCCACAGACUGUUUCAUUUCCCUUUUUCAAUUUACAUAGAAGCAUAGAUUCUUGCUGGCAUAUACAAAUGCGCCAUUUAAGGCAAUCAAAAAUGGUUCCACAUCUCAUCUGAUUUCCACAAUUGUUGCUGUAACGAUGGACUACUGAGGAGAGAGACAAUUUCUCUGGCACAUCUUCCCACAUUUUAGCAACAUGUUCAUGGAGAGCCAAUAUUCAGUAAUUACAGCCCAAUUCCUCACAAUUUCACAAUUCGCUAACAAUAUGCAUUUUCACAAUGUAAAGCUGAUUUUCCUUUAACCAAAUCAAACAUGAAAAGAUAGCUGCAUGCAAUGGGCAAUCUAGAUCAUUAGAAGAUUGAUGUAAAAUUAGAGGACACUGAGACUGGAAUAGAUUGCAAACUUCAGGGAGCUCAGAAAACUUGUAAACUCUACAUUUUGAGGAAAUAUGUUGUCGAUGCUUUUGCAACUCUAUGCAGUAACUUAACAAAUAAAGCCUUAAAGUAACU